Molecule: ribosomal RNA, 305 nt
Filed under: uncultured bacterium
Lineage: Bacteria
Description: partial 16S ribosomal RNA
Rfam family: Bacterial small subunit ribosomal RNA
Source: RNAcentral
ACAGCAGCAGCCGCGGGAAAACGGAGGGUGCAAGCGUUAUCCGGAUUCAUUGGGUUUAAAGGGUCCGUAGGCGGAUCUGUAAGUCAGUGGUGAAAUCUCACAGCUUAACUGUGAAACUGCCAUUGAUACUGCAGGUCUUGAGUAAAUUUGAAGUGGCUGGAAUAAGUAGUGUAGCGGUGAAAUGCAUAGAUAUUACUUAGAACACCAAUUGCGAAGGCAGGUCACUAAGAUUUAACUGACGCUGAUGGACGAAAGCGUGGGGAGCGAACAGGAUUAGAUACCCCAGUAGUCCCUGUCUCUUAUAC